GUGAGGAAUUUUGCGCAAUGGGGGCAACCCUGACGCAGCGACGCCGCGUGGAGGACGAAGUCUUUCGGGAUGUAAACUCCUGUCAGUGGGGACGAUAAUGACGGUACCCACAGAGGAAGCACCGGCUAACUCCGUGCCAGCAGCCGCGGUAAGACGGAGGGUGCAAGCGUUGUUCGGAAUUACUGGGCGUAAAGCGUACGUAGGCGGCAAGUUAAGUUCAAUGUUAAAGCCCACGGCUCAACCGAGGAGAUGCAUUGAAUACUGGCUAGCUAGAGGGUGUUAGAGGAAGACGGAAUUCCCAGUGUAGCGGUGAAAUGCGUAGAUAUUGGGAGGAACAUCGGUAGCGAAAGCGGUCUUCUGGGACACACCUGACGCUGAGGUACGAAAGCGUGGGGAGCAAACGGGAUUAGAAACCCCUGUAGUCC
Molecule: ribosomal RNA, 425 nt
Filed under: uncultured bacterium
Lineage: Bacteria
Description: partial 16S ribosomal RNA
Rfam family: Bacterial small subunit ribosomal RNA
Source: RNAcentral